GUUUGAUCCUGGCUCAGAAUCAACGCUGGCGGCGUGCCUCAGACAUGCAAGUCGAACGAUUAAAGCUCUCUUCGGAGAGUGUAUAGAGUGGCGCACGGGUGAGUAACACGUAAGUAAUCUACCCUCGAGUGGGGAAUAACAACCGGAAACGGUUGCUAAUACCGCAUAAUGCAGCGGCACCGCAAGGUGACAGUUGUUAAAGAUUUAUCGCUUGAGGAGGAGCUUGCGGCAGAUUAGCUAGUUGGUAGGGUAACGGCUUACCAAGGCUACGAUCUGUAACCGGUCUAAGAGGACGGUCGGUCACACUGACACUGAAUAACGAGUCAGACUCCUACGGGAGGCAGCAGUCGGGAAUUUUGGGCAAUGGGCGAAAGCCUGACCCAGCAACGCCGCGUGAAGGAUGAAGUAUUUCGGUAUGUAAACUUCGAAAGAAUAGGAAGAAUUAAUGACGGUACUAUUUAUAAGGUCCGGCUAACUACGUG
Molecule: ribosomal RNA, 482 nt
Filed under: uncultured bacterium
Lineage: Bacteria
Description: bacterial SSU rRNA
Rfam family: Bacterial small subunit ribosomal RNA
Source: RNAcentral